UAUAAGGUCUAACCUGCCCACUGAAAUUUUAAAGGGCCGCAGUAUUUUAACUGUGCAAAGGUAGCAUAAUAAUUAGUUUCUUAAUUAGAAGCUGGUAUGAAUGGUUGAACGAGAAAUUUACUGUCUCAAUUUAUAUAUUAAAAUUUUAUUUUUAAGUUAAAAAGCUUAAAUUUAUUUAAAAGACGAGAAGACCCUAUAGAGUUUUAUAAAUUUAAGUAUAUUAAUUUUAGAAUUUUUUUUUUAUUUAAGUUUAUUUUAUUGGGGUGAUAUAUAAAUUUAAUAAACUUUAUAUUUUUAAUUACAUUAAUUAAUGUUAAAUUGAUCCAUAUAAAUGAUUAAAAGAAAAAAUUACCUUAGGGAUAACAGCGUAAUUUUUUUUUAGAGUUCUAAUCGAAAAAAAAGAUUGCGACCUCGAUGUUGGAUUAAAAUUAAUUUUUGGUGUAGAAGCUAAAAUAUUAGGUCUGUUCGACCUUUAAAAUUUUACAUGAUCUGAGUUUAAACCGGUGUGAGCCAGGUUGGUUUCUAUCUUUAAAUUAAAUAAAUAUUUUAGUACGAAAGGACCAAGUAUUUUUAAAAUUUAAUAUUUUUUGAAUA
Molecule: ribosomal RNA, 594 nt
Filed under: Hydraena intermedia
Lineage: Eukaryota; Metazoa; Arthropoda; Insecta; Coleoptera; Hydraenidae
Description: partial 16S ribosomal RNA
Rfam family: Bacterial large subunit ribosomal RNA
Source: RNAcentral